Molecule: ribosomal RNA, 429 nt
Filed under: uncultured bacterium
Lineage: Bacteria
Description: bacterial SSU rRNA
Rfam family: Bacterial small subunit ribosomal RNA
Source: RNAcentral
UCGAGAAUCUUUUGCAAUGGGCGAAAGCCUGACAAAGCGACGCUGUGUGAGCGACGAAGGCCUUUGGGUUGUAAAGCUCUUUCGCUAGGGAACAAGGGAGAGAAACUAAUAUUUUCUUGACUUGAGGGUACCUGGUAAAGAAGCACCGGCUAACUCCGUGCCAGCAGCUGCGGUAAUACGGAGGGUGCAAGCAUUAAUCGGAAUUACUGGGCGUAAAGGGUGCGUAGGCGGGCAAACAAGUCAGAUGUGAAAUUCCGGUACUCAAUAUCGGAGCUGCAUUUGAAACUAUUUGUCUUGAGGGCAGGCGGAGAGAAUGGAAUUCCAUGUGUAGCGGUGAAAUGCGUAGAUAUAUGGAAGAACACCUGUGGCGAAAGCGGUUCUCUAGCUUGUUUCUGACGCUGAGGCACGAAAGCAUGGGUAGCAAACAGG